UCAUAUAUAUCCACUAUUCCUAGUGCAAUAUUACCCAAAGCAUCUCUUCUCUCCCUGUACACAGGACCAAAAGUGCAGGCACAUCAUUUAUUGAUAAGACAAAAAGAAUGUAAUGAAAUUAUCAAUGUUCUUGAAUUAAUUAUGAACAUGAUUAAGAAAGCUAAAAUCUCAGGAGCCAGGAUCUCAUUACCCAUUCAGUCUUAGGGAUUGCUUUCAUUCAGCUAAGCAAAAAGGCUUUGAGCAGUCCCACAAUUGCCUUUCUCUCAUUUAUUUGUGCUAGAAUUAAGGUUUAUUUGUUUUCUGUUUUCUCCUUCUUCAGAGAUUAUUUCUCUUAGUUUAUCCAUUUAACAAAUUGUUUCUUCCUGUAUCAUAGAAGAAUGCCCCUGUAGGGCCUCCAUCACUGUCUUCUGGCUACAGACCUCCUCCUUUUGAGGGCAUUUUCUCUCCACUCAUUUUGCUGGGAGCUCCUAAAUAUCUCUCAAGUUUCUACAGAUAGCAGAAGACUUCUGCAGUCCAAUCCUGCAAAUGCAUAGUUGCUAAGAAGAGGCUUUUUAAAAGUUCUACUUUGUGGGAAAACUUGACCAAAUAUUGAGAAAGCAGAAGACAGGAAUAUUUUCACUAGAUUGGGAUGGAUGGAGAGAGAGGGAAUGAAAAUAUUGACUAAGGGCAGAAAACAAUAUUCCCACCUUUAAAAGUCUAUGAUUGAUGAGUGUGAGAAGAGAAAUCCAGGGGUCUCCAAUAGAAUUCCGAAGACACAUGGUUUCAUCCAGUCAUCAGUUUCGUUAGAACUUCGCUUCCAGCUGGGCUCUGCCAUUUAGGAUAAGGAAUCGUGAUGUCACAUCUCUGCUAUUCAUGCUUCUGGCAGCCCAGCCUGACUGCCAUACCUCACCCCAAACAUCCUAAGAAAGACCAAAUGGGAAGCUUUUUGAGAGAAGAGAUGGUGGAAUUGCAGAAUUUAGAGAUCAUUAAGCCCAAUCCCUCCAUAAUAUAGAGAUUUGGAAAAAAGACUUGAAAGAGCAAAUUCUUUGCUGGCCAUGGUCAUUCAACUGGCAGAAUCAAGAUUAGCUGGUCCACUAGAACUCAGACCAGUGAGUUCUUAAGAUAUGGCUCAUUCUUUAGAAAAAAAUUCUGCACAGUACCCAGCACAGUGCUACAUACGGAGAAUGUGUUGACUACAUAUUUGUCGAAAAUGACACAGAAAAUUCAAGCACCUUCAGUCUAAUAUCCUGAAAGUGAGCCUACUCACAGAAUCCUAAAAUUUUAAGAAUUGAAAGGGAGCUCGGCAUAUAUCUUUUCUACUUCUUGCCCACUAUACCAUAUCCAGAAAUAUAUCAUCCAGAUUUUUAUUAGGAGAUGGACUCAGUGAAAAAAAAACCCAUCAAAUUUGAAAUCAGAGGUCAUAAGCUCAAAUACCAGCUUUGCCAGCUAGUGCAUUCUGGGCAACAAAUAAGUGGCAUAAGGGAUAGAGCAUAAGACCCAGAAUUAGAAAGAAUGGAGUAAAAAUUCUACCUCGAAUACUUACUAGCUGUAUAAUCCUAAGUAAGUCACUUGACCUUUGUAUGCCUCAGGUUCCUUAUCUGUAAAAUGGAGACAAUAAUAGCACCUACCUCCCAGGGUUGGUGUGGGGAUCAAAUAAGAUAAUAUUUGUAAAGCAUUUUGUGAAUCUCAAAG
Long non-coding RNA from Monodelphis domestica (gray short-tailed opossum), 1671 nucleotides. The record is from Ensembl. Lineage: Eukaryota; Metazoa; Chordata; Mammalia; Didelphimorphia; Didelphidae.